GUGGGUAUCGCCAAGCGGUUAAGGCUCCGGAUUGUGGUUCCGGCAUUCGUGGGUUCGAAUCCCAUUACCCACCCCA
This 76-nucleotide transfer RNA is filed under the name Pseudomonadota bacterium. Its description in RNAcentral is "tRNA-His". It matches the Rfam family "tRNA". Rfam says of the family: Transfer RNA (tRNA) molecules are approximately 80 nucleotides in length. Their secondary structure includes four short double-helical elements and three loops (D, anti-codon, and T loops). RNAcentral also lists the same sequence under 1 other name. Lineage: Bacteria; Pseudomonadati; Pseudomonadota. The record is from RNAcentral.